Molecule: ribosomal RNA, 652 nt
Filed under: marine metagenome
Description: bacterial SSU rRNA
Rfam family: Archaeal small subunit ribosomal RNA
Source: RNAcentral
GUUAAGUUCACUGCCUGGGGAGUACGGUCGCAAGGCUGAAACUUAAAGGAAUUGGCGGGGGAGCACUGCAACGGGAGGAGCGUGCGGUUUAAUUGGAUUCAACGCCGGAAAACUCACCAAGGCCGACUGUUAGAUGAAGAUCAGCGUAAUGAGCUUAUCGGAUUUUCAGAGAGGUGGUGCAUGGCCGUCGUCAGUUCGUACUGUAAAGCGUUCUGUUAAGUCAGAUAACGAACGAGACCCUCAUCUUUAUUUGCUACCCCAUUCCCCGGAAUGGGCGCACUAUAGAGAGACCGCUGGUGUGAAACCAGAGGAAGGCGAGGGCAACGACAGGUCAGUAUGCCCCGAAUGUCUUGGGCUACACGCGCGCUACAAAGGACAGGACAAUGGGAUGCUAGGCCGAGAGGCAUUCACGCUAACCCGAAACCUGUUCAUAGUUCGGAUUGAGGGCUGUAACUCGCCCUCAUGAAGCUGGAUUCCGUAGUAAUCGUGUUUCAAUAUAGCACGGUGAAUAUGCCCCUGCUCCUUGCACACACCGCCCGUCAAACCAUCUUAGUUGGGGGUGGGUGAGGCUGCGCUUUAUGGCGUAUUCGAGCCUGCCUUCGACAAGGAGGGUUAAGUCGUAACAAGGUAUCUGUAGGGGAACCUGCAGAUG